This 442-nucleotide ribosomal RNA is filed under the name Pseudomonas sp. RNAcentral's name for it is "bacterial SSU rRNA". It matches the Rfam family "Bacterial small subunit ribosomal RNA", at positions 71 to 508 of the family's 1533-position model. Lineage: Bacteria; Pseudomonadati; Pseudomonadota; Gammaproteobacteria; Pseudomonadales; Pseudomonadaceae. The record is from RNAcentral.
CACGGGUACUUGUACCUGGUGGCGAGCGGCGGACGGGUGAGUAAUGCCUAGGAAUCUGCCUGGUAGUGGGGGAUAACGCUCGGAAACGGACGCUAAUACCGCAUACGUCCUACGGGAGAAAGCAGGGGACCUUCGGGCCUUGCGCUAUCAGAUGAGCCUAGGUCGGAUUAGCUAGUUGGUGAGGUAAUGGCUCACCAAGGCGACGAUCCGUAACUGGUCUGAGAGGAUGAUCAGUCACACUGGAACUGAGACACGGUCCAGACUCCUACGGGAGGCAGCAGUGGGGAAUAUUGGACAAUGGGCGAAAGCCUGAUCCAGCCAUGCCGCGUGUGUGAAGAAGGUCUUCGGAUUGUAAAGCACUUUAAGUUGGGAGGAAGGGCAGUAAAUUAAUACUUUGCUGUUUUGACGUUACCGACAGAAUAAGCACCGGCUAACUCUGUGC